UGGGGAAUAUUGGACAAUGGGGGCAACCCUGAUCCAGCAAUGCCGCGUGUGUGAAGAAGGUCUUCGGAUUGUAAAGCACUUUCGACGGGGACGAUGAUGACGGUACCCGUAGAAGAAGCCCCGGCUAACUUCGUGCCAGCAGCCGCGGUAAUACGAAGGGGGCUAGCGUUGCUCGGAAUGACUGGGCGUAAAGGGCGUGUAGGCGGUUUACACAGUCAGAUGUGAAAUCCCCGGGCUUAACCUGGGAGCUGCAUUUGAUACGUGUAGACUAGAGUGUGAGAGAGGGUUGUGGAAUUCCCAGUGUAGAGGUGAAAUUCGUAGAUAUUGGGAAGAACACCGGUGGCGAAGGCGGCAACCUGGCUCAUGACUGACGCUGAGGCGCGAAAGCGUGGGGAGCAAACAGGAUUAGAUACCCUGGUAGUCCACGCUGUAAACGAUGUGUGCUAGAUGUUGGGUAACUUUGUUAUUCAGUGUCGCAGUUAACGCGUUAAGCACACCGCCUGGGGAGUACGGGCC
Molecule: ribosomal RNA, 516 nt
Filed under: uncultured bacterium
Lineage: Bacteria
Description: partial 16S ribosomal RNA
Rfam family: Bacterial small subunit ribosomal RNA
Source: RNAcentral